UUGCUUCGCGUUAAUAUUCUGAUAAUUUCAGGUCUCCGCUAACCAGUUAGGAGCAGUUAGUGUCGCAACGUCCUUGUCGCCAGAGACAAGAACGCUAAUGACCGUCGAGCGUUCUCGAGCGUCUGCAACGGUAUUCUCUCUCUUGUGAACUUGUCUUCUUCUUCUUCUUUCUUCUUCUACUUAUUUUGUUUUCCGUUCGCUUUUAUCUAAUGUUCACUGAACUUUCACUGUUGUUUCUAAGGGACUCCGUAGAGCGUGGGGUGGGCGCGAGCACGAAGAGCCCUGUUAAACGUCGUGCUGUCACAUGGGGCAGCAGACCGCAAUGCGAUUCUCGGGGUGACACGCGAGGGGAGCCGAGCUGGUCUCUUCUUCAGAGCUUCUCUGCGAACACUGCGGACCUUGGUAUUGAAAACCGGAAGCUUUAUAAGGAAGCCAAUGCGACAUGUAUUAUGCGAAUUUCUACGGUUUUAGGCCUCAUCGACCAGGCCUCCCGAGCUUUCAAGGCGACCUUGUUGAGUAUUUUUCCCCCCUCGUAAUCUCCCUGUAGCACGAACGCUUCUUUGUUUUUCGCUUGGACCGAGUGUCGAUGUUUCGGCACGGGAAUGUUGAAGCUAAAAGAAUGUAGACGAUCCACGAAUAAUUUGAUACUUCUGUUGCAUAAUCUUGGAAGUUUCCUUCUUGGAGAAUUAUUGUUGGACCAAUUGACGUUGCAACUACCGAGAUCUAAACGCGACUAAUAUAGGGUAAGUCCGGAAGAAUUCGGCCAGUUGGAGAGACCGGCUAGUAUAAAUUGUCGCGAAACUGUAUUCUUAGCAGUAAUUGAGAGAUAGCGAGACGAUAUCGGUCAUGGUCAGAAAAUACGAUAGGCAACUUGCAAACAUUAUAAAUAGUUCAGAGAACAUUAAGACAAAGAAAAACAAGGGAACUGUAAAGAGACAUAGGAAUGUUUCAAUUAAAAGGGGGAAGAAUGUAAAGAACCGAAGAAAACAAUUUGAACAAUCAUUCGACUUGAGCAGAGAUAAUCCAGUUUUAUAAGAAAGUGACGCGUCAUUAGGAGAAUGGAACCACACAAAACGAAUGCGUGAGAUGCAGAAAGGACUUACCGGACUUAUCCUAUAGUUAGUAUAUUAUGUAUAGUAUAAUAUAGUAUAUUAUAACUUCGACCAGAUUGGUAUGCUUUAAUAAAGAAUUUUAUCGAGAAAUA
Molecule: long non-coding RNA, 1204 nt
Organism: Megalopta genalis
Lineage: Eukaryota; Metazoa; Arthropoda; Insecta; Hymenoptera; Halictidae
Source: RefSeq, a predicted model, not a curated record